Long non-coding RNA from Sesamum indicum (sesame), 494 nucleotides. RefSeq lists it as uncharacterized. The record is from RefSeq and is a predicted model, not a curated record. NCBI's taxonomy places the organism in Eukaryota, Viridiplantae, Streptophyta, Magnoliopsida, Lamiales, Pedaliaceae.
UCAAUUAUGAUUUUGUGAAGUUGAAAUGGGCGGAGUCCAAAAUAUAAUGGUCAAUACAAUUGUCCAGUCCAAUUCAGCCACUGCUCUAAAAGUCUUGUUUGAACAGCCCAAUAAAAGCAAACCUUCCUCUCUUCUCAUUUUACACGCGAUCAACCGUCGCCUGAAUUCUACCGCCCAAGUCUCCAUUCGGUGUCACUCCUCGAGUCAAUCAAUUAAUAGUAUUUGUUAUCGCCGUUGCACGAACACCGCCAAUAAAUCCCACGGUCGCCGCGAAGCACCUCUUUGUUAUUUUUCGAGCUACCAUCAUCGGAUUUUUGCAAAAAGGUCCCACAAAAAGAUAGGUCUUCUCUUGUGCUAUGGCGCUAGACACAGGUAUGUUUACUGUGCUACAGACGAUUGGUAGUGCUUUAUGCUGCAAGUGUGGUAUUUUAAUACAACCAAAUGUGGCAAACAUGUGUGUCAAAUACCUGCGAUCCGAAGUAGACAUAACAAAA